RNAcentral lists this ribosomal RNA (490 nucleotides) under uncultured bacterium. RNAcentral describes it as "bacterial SSU rRNA". It matches the Rfam family "Bacterial small subunit ribosomal RNA", at positions 30 to 509 of the family's 1533-position model. The record is from RNAcentral.
AUUGAACGCUGGCGGCAUGCUUUACACAUGCAAGUCGAACGGUAACAGGGAGCUUGCUCCGCUGACGAGUGGCGAACGGGUGAGUAAUGCAUCGGAACGUACCCAGUCGUGGGGGAUAACGUAGCGAAAGUUACGCUAAUACCGCAUACGUCCUGAGGGAGAAAGCGGGGGACCGAAAGGCCUCGCGCGAUUGGAGCGGCCGAUGUCGGAUUAGCUAGUUGGUAGGGUAAAGGCCUACCAAGGCGACGAUCCGUAGCGGGUCUGAGAGGAUGAUCCGCCACACUGGGACUGAGACACGGCCCAGACUCCUACGGGAGGCAGCAGUGGGGAAUUUUGGACAAUGGGCGCAAGCCUGAUCCAGCCAUGCCGCGUGAGUGAAGAAGGCCUUCGGUUGUAAAGCUCUUUCUAGGUGGAAAGAAAACGACAUGGGUCGAAUACCCUGUGUGGAGUGACGGUACCAUCAGAAGAAGCACCGGCUAACUAACGUGCC